UGACUGGUUCUGGACUUGAUGGACUAUGU
This 29-nucleotide non-coding RNA is filed under the name Rattus norvegicus (Norway rat). Lineage: Eukaryota; Metazoa; Chordata; Mammalia; Rodentia; Muridae. The record is from RNAcentral.